GCUAUGGAGACAUAGCUUUCCCUUCGGGGACAGCGGUGACAGGUGGUGCAUGGUUGUCGUCAGCUCGUGUCGUGAGAUGUUGGGUUAAGUCCCGCAACGAGCGCAACCCUUGUCCUUAGUUGCCAUCAUUCAGUUGGGCACUCUAAGGAGACUGCCGGCUAAAAGUCGGAGGAAGGUGGGGAUGACGUCAAAUCAUCAUGCCCCUUAUGACCUGGGCUACACACGUGCUACAAUGGACGGUACAAACGGUUGCGAAGUCGCGAGAUGGANCCAAUCCGAGAAAACCGUUCUCAGUUCGGAUUGCAAGGCUGCAACUCGCCUGCAUGAAGCCGGAAUCGCUAGUAAUCGCGGAUCAGCAUGCCGCGGUGAAUACGUUCCCGGGCCUUGUACACACCGCCCGUCACACCACGAGAGUUUGUAACACCCGAAGUCGGUGAGGUAACCUUUUGGAGCCAGCCGCCGAAGGUGGGACAGAUGAUUGGGGUGAAGUCGUAACAAGGUAGCCGUAUCGGAAGGUGCGGCUGGAUCAC
This 530-nucleotide ribosomal RNA is filed under the name uncultured Ureibacillus sp. Its description in RNAcentral is "bacterial SSU rRNA". It matches the Rfam family "Bacterial small subunit ribosomal RNA", at positions 997 to 1526 of the family's 1533-position model. Lineage: Bacteria; Bacillati; Bacillota; Bacilli; Caryophanales; Caryophanaceae. The record is from RNAcentral.